ACUACAAUAUAAUCCUAGAGCGUGAGAUGCUUGGUGAGUGCAUUCAGAGUUUUAAAGAAAGAUAUAAGUUAGAGGUCAGUACUUUUUGUGUACACUAUUUUAUGUUUUAUUUUCAAUGUUUAGAUAUAAUUUAAAGAAGUUGGACGCUAUAACGAUUUGAACUAUUCAGGAAAUUCUGUGUGUAUAUUCAUUAAAUUUUGAGUAAUGUUGAUGUGUAACUGUUUAUUUAUUAUAGUCUAAAGCGCAAUGGAAACUUUAAGUCUCUGACCAAAAAUAGGCAGAAGAAAACUGAGCUAAUUUUCCCGUAUAUUUCAACAAAUUUUCUCUUCCUCUGACAUCUCAUAACUUACAUUUAUCGCAUAGAGAGUUUUGACUUAAUAACUAAAGUUCCGGGUUGUGCAUUGCAACAAAAUCUGUGUAACCGAACGCUUCAGAUUUUUAUGGGGAGGGUGUGUGGAGUGGACGCUUAAUCUUUUUGGAUAAAAAUAAAACCUAACGUGAGGUGACCUUAAGGAGGUCACAAGCAGUGUUGAUGUCUUACAUGUCAAAUAUGAAACGUGAUAGUGUGUGUAAUUACAUAUCUGUGGUGAUGAAAAAAUAAUUUGUGAAGGUUCAAAAUCAACAACAUAAAUCAGCAGAAGUGCUUUUCUUCAUCUCAAGCUUCUUCGAUUUCCAACUUUCGCUUUUGGAAAUUCGGGUGGCAGUGAAUGUAUCGUUUCCUGUAUUAAUAAGGAACAAAGAUUUUGCAGCAGCGUGACACUCAUUCAUUUAGUUUCACAUGUUUCUAUGAGAGAAAAAAAAAAUAAUGCAAAAACUGCGUCCCCCUGGGUUAUUCCUGUGAAUUGACUCGUCAAAACUUCUGCUGACAGCGUCACAUCCAGCGCGUUAGAAAUUGAGUCAAUAUUUUGAGACAUGACGGAUCCGAAAGAUGUUUAUUAAAUGGCCUUUGCGCAUGGGGUUCACGAGGCUCACAGCUGUAGCCUUCAGAGGCAUCACAGCACCAGCGUAAUGCAAAACUUUUGAAGUGCUAUUUCUGGUCCAAGUUGGGCAUGCACUCACUCUGUGAGCCGAGAAAAGCUGUUGCAGUUGUGUGAAAUCCUACAACAAAAAGAAAAAUGCAGAAUAUUGUAGAGAAGUCUCGUAAAAAUGCCGCUGUAGCUGCUUUAGCUAAGUGGCUCUCACUAUAAAUUUUAAAAAGUUCCUGUAGCGGUUUGAAAUUCUACAUUUAUGGCCUCAGCAUAUUCAUCACUGAACAGCCAGCGGCGUUUUUAAUCAGAGCCCAUUUUUACAUUUACACAUUAAAUUUUAUGCUGGAGGCAUUUUUACGCACCUAAACUUUGAGUGUACUCGUGUGCAAUUCCAAGAACUUUCUGUGGCACCAGAUUCCCCUCUAACAUGUUGCCAAUCCAAUUUUAUAACCCAGAUAUUUUUUUAAUGAUAUGCCAUUCUUACCGUCAUCCACCUGUUGAAAUAUCCCUCCACAUUUUGCCAAGCAAAGUGGCGAACUAUCCAAAACUCCCCUUGCUAACUUGAGAACACCAAAAACUUCUCCUCUUAGCCUGGUCUCAUAAGACUGACUUGGAGAAAACCUUGUGUGAAAACUAGCCUGGUAGCCAAGAAGAUAUUUUAAUGGUUUGUAUGGCACGUCUGUGCAUGUGGCUUUGAACUCUAGCAGCCGGAGGUUCCUGCAGAGAGCGCCGCAAAUCCCACUUGAUAACUUCGACAACCCACAACGUUUUGCACACAAGGCUAUGCACUACUGACCUGCAAACAAUAAAGAAUAAAAAUGAGUGAGAAGCACGAGCAGAGCAGAGUCCUGAUGAAUACAUUAGGCGUACUGAUGGAUCCAAGUUUGAAACUGGCCUAUUUAUUAAAGGUAAACCUCGUGAACGUGGACUGCUGCUGGUGUGCAUGAUGAUGUGGAAAUCUAAAGCACAGAUGUUGCACUGGUGUGGGCAGAAACAUUGUGUUCAAGGAAGACACGCAGAGCAGCAAAACACGCUGAGUGCAAAAACAAAAUGUUGUGUGGAUUUCUUUAUAAGUUAAUAAAAAAGACCUUUAAAAUGGAGUGAUGACAUUCUGCAGAGUUUAUUUCAAACAUGAGGGUUUCCAGUGACGGGGCUCUGAGAAAAGAAACGUCAAAGUUGGCUCUACCUGCACCUCAGACUAACCUGACGUGCAUAAAGAGGGGUCACGUUUGAGUGUUUAAAGGUUUGUUGUGCUAUAAUCCUGUGUAAUAUAUUUUUGCCCAACAUUAAUUUUUCCUUUGAAAGUGUCUUUUUAAUCUUGAAAACAUGGCCUUUCAGCACUUUAGGGUGGGAAACAGAUCAAACAGACAGACAAGAUACCAUGUCUGACUUUUUAAUCACACAUAAGGUUGCCAAUCGAACCAACAAAAAUGUCUUCACAGUGAUACUAUGUGCCCAGGCUAACAAAGACAAUCUGACACAUUUGCUUCCCAUUACUGCAGUAUGUGGCUGCAAAACGUGCUUCGACUCUCUACGAGACCCGCUUCUUGUUUUCUCUUCCUCAACUUUUUUUGUUUUGCUGUUAUUCAGCCUUUUAACC
This 2568-nucleotide long non-coding RNA is filed under the name Xyrichtys novacula (pearly razorfish). The record is from RNAcentral. Lineage: Eukaryota; Metazoa; Chordata; Actinopteri; Labriformes; Labridae.